This 501-nucleotide ribosomal RNA is filed under the name uncultured bacterium. RNAcentral's name for it is "partial 16S ribosomal RNA". It matches the Rfam family "Bacterial small subunit ribosomal RNA", at positions 899 to 1397 of the family's 1533-position model. The record is from RNAcentral.
ACUCAAAUGAAUUGACGGGGGCCCGCACAAGCGGUGGAGCAUGGGGAUUAAUUCGUCAUUAACCGAAGAACCUUACCAGGGCUUGACAUCCCCGGAACCCCCGAGAAACCGGGGGGUGCCUCGCAAGAGGAGCCGGGAGACAGGUGUUGCAUGGCUGUCGUCAGCUCGUGUCGUGAGAUGUUGGGUUAAGUCCCGCAACGAGCGCAACCCUCACCCAAUGUUGCCAGCGUAAAGUCGGGCACUCUUUGGGAACUGCCCGUGUAAGCGGGAGGAAGGUGGGGAUGACGUCAAGUCAGCAUGGCCCUUACGUCCUGGGCUUCACCCAUGCUACAAUGGGCGUGACAGAGGGCCGCAAACCCGCGAGGGGGAGCCAAUCCCAGAAACACGCUCUCAGUUCGGAUUGCAGGCUGCAACUCGCCUGCAUGAAGUCGGAAUCGCUAGUAACCGCCGGUCAGCCAAACGGCGGUGAAUACGUUCCCGGGCCUUGUACACACCGCCCGU